CCUUGCCAUUUAGUCUUCCGCCGGCGGCGCCGGAGCCACCGCGACGAACCCAGUGACUUCUACCCCUUCUACCUCUCCCCUCUCUUCGCAUCGUCCCGCCAGCGCCGCCGCGAUCUUCAAACUCACUAACCUCGCGGCCGCUUUCCUCCUCGCGUCGUAGCUGGGUCGGACGGACGGCGGCUGCUGGUUCGGAGUCCAGUCCUAGCGAGUGUCCGUUUUGCUUAGCUGUUAAGACCGAAGUUCAAAGGUUUCUGGAACAUGGGUCUUAGAAGAUUCUUAGUUUAGUUCCCCUCUCCCCUCUUAUGCGGGGCCGUCGAGGGGCUCUUGCUCGCAGGUAAAGGAUGUAGAGCCCCUUCGCCUUCGCGGGACUUGGGGAGCGGCUAAGCUCGCUGCUGAUGAGUUCUUCAAAGGAAGGGAGAGUGCUGUUACUGCGGUUGCCGGCGGAGUCAAGUAACUUUUAUACUUCCCCUCGUCGCAUCACCAACGACAAAAGAAACAGCCCACGGAUUAGUACCAACCUGUUACAGCGGGGCUGGGGUUCUCGUGGAUGUUUCUACCGGUACUGUUGUGCUGAUACCACCGGAGUAGUAAUCUACUCUCGUUUGAAUGGUAUUUUACCACACAGCGUUCCUUAACAUUGUGGUUUCCACUUGGUUUACGGGUAGUGACGAAAACGACGGAGUUACGCGCGCCCCCCCCUCCGUGGAACAAAAUCAAGGUCUCCUCUAACGGUCCUAGUGACGGGUUGAAACGGUGGGCCUUUUAUUCCUACAAGAUCGACUAUACAUAAACUAGCGUAGGGAAAAUCAAGGUAUCCUCUAACGGUCCUAGUGACGGGUUGAAACAGUGUGCCUUUUAUUCCUACAAGAUCGACUAUACAUAAACUAGUGUAGGGAUGGAUCGACAUCGUAGCAGCGGCUAGAUCCGUAGACACAUCCAGAAGCAUUUCCUACGUUGUACACCGACCCUAUAAGUGAUCGCCACCCUAGACACACUUAGAUAAAAGUAAGUACAUAAACUUCUUAAGAUCAACUACAUUCGAGUGUUUUGGAGGUUAAUCUCGUCUACCCUAUGCAAACGUCUAGUAUUUAAGACGUGGGCUAUAGUCACCGCUCGUACGAUAAAACGUAGAAUUAAACAACACGAAGGUCAUGCGGAACAAAUAUAUCACUAUCGUUAGAAAAAACGAAGUACGUAAGCACGAAGGAUGCAUGUCGCCUUAAAGUUAGAUAAAGGUACGAAGAUCCAUCGAAGGAUACAUGACGACGUAGAUGGUAGGAAACAAACAGACUAACCUUACAGUUAGAUAACGGUACGAACGACCGACAUGAAAAAAAAAGUAAUCAAUCGUAUAUAUGAAGGAUCCACAGGAAGCAUGUCUAUGAAGAAGGUACGUUACCUCGAAGUGAGAGAACGGUACAAAGCAUCUACAUGUCUACAUUUCAGGUAACGAAGCCUCGUAGGUACAAAAAAAUACAUAUCUAUCUUGACGUUAGUACGUAGAACUAAAUCAUAUACACAAAGGUAACAAACAUCUAAAAGUAAAAUAAAAAAAUAAUUUGUCUGUACGAAGUAACAUAAAGAGUAGUGAACAUAUUAAAGUAAAUGAACGUAACGG
This 1618-nucleotide ribosomal RNA is filed under the name Triticum aestivum (bread wheat). RNAcentral's name for it is "partial small subunit ribosomal RNA". Lineage: Eukaryota; Viridiplantae; Streptophyta; Magnoliopsida; Poales; Poaceae. The record is from RNAcentral.